Molecule: ribosomal RNA, 492 nt
Filed under: uncultured bacterium
Lineage: Bacteria
Description: partial 16S ribosomal RNA
Rfam family: Bacterial small subunit ribosomal RNA
Source: RNAcentral
AGUGAACGCUGGCGGUAGGCCUAACACAUGCAAGUCGAACGGCAGCACAGUAAGAGCUUGCUCUUACGGGUGGCGAGUGGCGGACGGGUGAGGAAUACAUCGGAAUCUACUUUUUCGUGGGGGAUAACGUAGGGAAACUUACGCUAAUACCGCAUACGACCUACGGGUGAAAGCAGGGGAUAUUCGGACCUUGCGCGAUUGAAUGAGCCGAUGUCGGAUUAGCUAGUUGGCGGGGUAAAGGCCCACCAAGGCGACGAUCCGUAGCUGGUCUGAGAGGAUGAUCAGCCACACUGGAACUGAGACACGGUCCAGACUCCUACGGGAGGCAGCAGUGGGGAAUAUUGGACAAUGGGCGCAAGCCUGAUCCAGCCAUACCGCGUGGGUGAAGAAGGCCUUCGGGUUGUAAAGCCCUUUUGUUUGGAAAGAAAAGCAGCAGGUUAAUACCCCGCUGUUCUGACGGUACCCAAAGAAUAAGCACCGGCUAACUUCGUG